AACAUAACUGUUUGGCUUUUUUAUUUUAAAUAAAAAAUAAUAAAAAUUAGGUUUUAUUCGAUCUACUACAUUUAGUGCAUGGCUGAAUUAAAUCCGUAGCGUCUAGCUGUAUACUAUAACGGAUACAUCCUUUUCUCUAAGUUGUAUUUCUUAAAGAUAAAGAAGAAGUCAAGCCAUCAUGCUGAUUGUAUUGUGGGCUAUAGGUGUGUUACUAUUAGAGAAACAAAAAGUAGCUAAUGUAAAACUUACGCAAAUCUUUUAAAUACUCUUUUAGCGGAUAGUUCUCUGCAACUCGAGAACUUGAAGAAGGAAUCGCCAGUAAUCGCGAAUCAGCAUCGUCGCGGUGAAUGUACUAGCUAAGGUGGACAGCUCGCUCGUCACGGUCCGAAAAUUACUUGGAGGCAAAGACUACUUUUUAAAUUCAUACGCUAUUAACUCUAUAAAACAUACAUGUUUUAUUUUUAGUGUAAAGUCUUUAAAAAAUUUUAAAACCUUUCGGUAAUGAUUGGAUUGAAGUCGAAACAGGUUUUUGUUCGGGAACGAGCAGAAGAUAAGAUAUUUC
This 562-nucleotide ribosomal RNA is filed under the name Jenufa perforata. RNAcentral describes it as "small subunit ribosomal RNA". It matches the Rfam family "Bacterial small subunit ribosomal RNA", at positions 966 to 1533 of the family's 1533-position model. The record is from RNAcentral. Lineage: Eukaryota; Viridiplantae; Chlorophyta; Chlorophyceae.